UCGGGUUGGCGACACGGGCCAUCUACCACCAACCUACUGAAGCGCAGCUCAGAUUUCAGAUGGAUUGAGUCCAGGUUCAAUCACUGGUAUAAUAAUAGCAGCAGCAGCAGUGAUUAUAGCAGCAGUGAUAUGUUACCUGCUGAGAGGUUAUCUGCCCCACUGCAAAAGUAAAAUGAUAUCUAAAGAGAUGCAGACCUUCUCAAAAAAUGAAGACGGAAUGUCACUGUCUGCCGCAGCAAAUACAAAUGGUCCAAAUGAAAACGAUCAGAGUGGAAAACCACUUCAGAGUGAAGAAGAAAGAGAGGAGACACAGAAAGAAGAGAUGUCAGUCACAUCAACCAUACUAAUGCCUCAGAAUCCAGGAGAGGACACUGACUCAGGGGAGGACAAAGAGGAAAGUUGACAAGCGGGUAAUUGUCCAAUUGCAUACAGUACCAGUCAAAAGUACCAGUCAAAAGUUUGGACACACCUACUCAUUCAAGGAUUUUUCUUACAAUUUCCUACAUUGUUGAAUAAUAGUGAAGA
Long non-coding RNA from Salvelinus namaycush (lake trout), 525 nucleotides. RefSeq lists it as uncharacterized. The transcript has 4 exons. The record is from RefSeq and is a predicted model, not a curated record. Lineage: Eukaryota; Metazoa; Chordata; Actinopteri; Salmoniformes; Salmonidae.